UACGUAGGGUGCGAGCGUUGUCCGGAAUUACUGGGCGUAAAGAGCUCGUAGGUGGUUUGUCGCGUUGUUCGUGAAAACCGGGGGCUUAACCCUCGGCGUGCGGGCGAUACGGGCAGACUUGAGUACUGCAGGGGAGACUGGAAUUCCUGGUGUAGCGGUGGAAUGCGCAGAUAUCAGGAGGAACACCGGUGGCGAAGGCGGGUCUCUGGGCAGUAACUGACGCUGAGUAGCGAAAGCGUGGGGAGCGAACAGG
Molecule: ribosomal RNA, 253 nt
Filed under: uncultured bacterium
Lineage: Bacteria
Description: partial 16S ribosomal RNA
Rfam family: Bacterial small subunit ribosomal RNA
Source: RNAcentral